CAAACCAUGUUGAAACACUGGUUUUCAUAUAAUCACCAAAGUUAAGCAACAUUGGGCCUGGUCAGUAGCUAAAUGGGUGACAGCUUGGAAAUACCAGGUGUUGUAAG
Molecule: non-coding RNA, 107 nt
Organism: Acanthosepion pharaonis
Lineage: Eukaryota; Metazoa; Mollusca; Cephalopoda; Sepiida; Sepiidae
Source: the annotation of a GenBank genome assembly